Callithrix jacchus (white-tufted-ear marmoset) is the source of this 64-nucleotide small nuclear RNA. Its record names the gene U7. It matches the Rfam family "U7 small nuclear RNA". From Rfam's summary of the family: Animal histone pre-mRNAs are spliced by a different mechanism than nuclear pre-mRNAs and self-splicing introns. This processing involves the U7 snRNP, which contains only one RNA species: U7. The record is from Ensembl. Lineage: Eukaryota; Metazoa; Chordata; Mammalia; Primates; Cebidae.
UACUGUAACAGCUCUUUCAGAAUUUGUCUAGCAGGCUUUCGGGUUUUUCCCAGAAAGCACCCCC